GCAUUAAUGGGGUAGUGGUAACCUGGGUCGUUGCCAUUUGACGUUAUAUCAGACGUUUCGACCCGCCGGGGGUUCGAUUCCCUCUUAAUGCA
Cerrena zonata is the source of this 92-nucleotide non-coding RNA. NCBI's taxonomy places the organism in Eukaryota, Fungi, Basidiomycota, Agaricomycetes, Polyporales, Cerrenaceae. The record is from the annotation of a GenBank genome assembly.